GCUGGCUUCGUUGGGAUAAGUGGUGGUGGGAAGCAGCAAAAGUGUCCUGCAUCCAUAUUCUCGACAUCUUCCUCCUCCUUCUUCCAAAAGGUGGUGAUAAGUGUCCUUCCUCCAGCACCAAUCGUGACUGUAAGCCUCUGAGCUGACAUCAGUCGUCCAUUGAUGUGAAGCUUGGAUUUGGUUGAAAAGGUGAUUCCCACC
RNAcentral lists this long non-coding RNA (201 nucleotides) under Elaeis guineensis (African oil palm). RNAcentral describes it as "long non-coding RNA (EGUI_LNC015149)". Lineage: Eukaryota; Viridiplantae; Streptophyta; Magnoliopsida; Arecales; Arecaceae. The record is from RNAcentral.